RNAcentral lists this long non-coding RNA (1106 nucleotides) under Homo sapiens (human). RNAcentral's name for it is "HSALNT0247663". The record is from RNAcentral. Lineage: Eukaryota; Metazoa; Chordata; Mammalia; Primates; Hominidae.
GCGCAGGUGGAGAGUGAGCCUGGUGUGGAGUUAGCCACUUCUCCCCAGAGGAAGGCAAGGAUGUGGAGGGUGAAAGCGGGCUCGCAGACACGAAUAUGACCAACGUGAUGCAGUGUGACUCUCAGGAUUAUGUAGUUAUAUAAGACUUGGUCUGUUUGAAAGAUUUGAAGAAGCCAGCUACCCUGAGGUCUACAUCUUUCCACAGCCUUGGUGUUGGAACCUAAUCCUCAACGUGGUGGUAGGUUUACCACCUGAAGCAGAGAACAGCCCUCACCAGAUACUGAACCAGCUGGUGCCUUAACAUUGGACUUCCAGCCUCCAGAACUGUGAGAUAUGUGCAGGGUUUGAAUGACCCAAGCCUGCAGAGUCAACUCUACUGCCCGUCCACACUUGUCUGCUGCUGUUCCUCACCUCUCCAGUGAGCGUGGAGUUCCAUGGUCUCAGGUGACAGCCAUCACACCCACUCUGAAUUUCCUGACAGGCAUAAUAGAAUUGAAGACACAGUGGAUAACGACAGAGCCUCGUGUACUGCUAACAGGGCUGGAGGCUGGGUAUCACCACAGCUGACCUCCUCUCCAUGGCUCUUGCUGCUGCUAAUCCUCCAAGAUGAAUCUGAAAGAGAAAACAACUGCUUAGUUGCUACAAAUCAUAGGAAGACUCUGGUGAGAAAAUCUCCAUAAAAGACUUCGGAAAAGAUAUGUGUCUUAAGGCAGAACUUGAGGAAAAGCAGGAGACUUGGCACAGAAGCCGCAGAAGGCUUUUUCCAUGUGUAGGAACUUGCAAGGAUGGCAGGAGGCUACAGAGAGCAGACUUGAAACCCUGUGAAAAGAAGAAAUAAGCAAAGCAAGAGGAUAAGCCCUGGGAGAACAGCGUGCUUCCCAGUGUCUGCCUCGUCCUGCACAGUAAGAGCCAGGUCAACUUCAGGAAAUAAGCAAGGCCUCUAAAAGGAAGCACGACCAGAAAAUACAGCACAACUAGGAGCAUAUGGAAGGGAUCCAAGAAGUGGAGACCAUCAUUCGGUAAUAGAAUCUGCUUUGGAGAUGAGAGAGCCUAGAAGGAUGCCCAAUGCCCAGAUGGCAACAGCGCCCUCACAUGCUAUGUACAAU